Molecule: ribosomal RNA, 253 nt
Filed under: uncultured bacterium
Lineage: Bacteria
Description: partial 16S ribosomal RNA
Rfam family: Bacterial small subunit ribosomal RNA
Source: RNAcentral
UACAGAGGUCUCAAGCGUUGUUCGGAUUCAUUGGGCGUAAAGGGUGCGUAGGUGGCGUGGUAAGUCGGGUGUGAAAUUUCGGAGCUUAACUCCGAAACUGCAUUCGAUACUGCUGUGCUUGAGGACUGGAGAGGAGACUGGAAUUUACGGUGUAGCAGUGAAAUGCGUAGAGAUCGUAAGGAAGACCAGUGGCGAAGGCGGGUCUCUGGACAGUUCCUGACACUGAGGCAUGAAGGCCAGGGGAGCAAACGGG